This is a small nuclear RNA of Hemibagrus wyckioides, 115 nucleotides long. RefSeq annotates it as U5 spliceosomal RNA. NCBI's taxonomy places the organism in Eukaryota, Metazoa, Chordata, Actinopteri, Siluriformes, Bagridae. The transcript has a single exon. The record is from RefSeq and is a predicted model, not a curated record.
UAGCUCUGGUUUCUCUUAAGUCACGCGUAAAUCUUUUGCCUUUUGUUAAAGAUUUCCGUGCAGAGAAAUAUCAAUGAGUUUGAUGUAGUUUUCUGUGCUUCGCUCUGUUAAAGCU